GACGAACGCUGGCGGCGUGCUUAACACAUGCAAGUCGAACGAGGUCCACUGAGUAGCAAUACAAGGGAAGACCUAGUGGCGAACGGGUGAGUAUCACGUGAGAAACCAACCCCGGUCUCUGGGAUAACAGUUGGAAACGACUGCUAAUACUGGAUGUCGUCGUACCCUCGCAUGGGGGGAUGACGAAAGGGUUACCGGAUCGGGACGGUCUCGCGGCCUAUCAGCUUGUUGGGGAGGUAACGGCUCACCAAGGCUUCGACGGGUAGCUGGUCUGAGAGGAUGAUCAGCCACACUGGGACUGAGACACGGCCCAGACUCCUACGGGAGGCAGCAGUGGGGAAUCUUGCGCAAUGGGCGAAAGCCUGACGCAGCAACGCCGCGUGCGGGAUGAAGGCCUUCGGGUUGUAAACCGCUUUUAACAGGAACGAAAAUGACGGUACCUGUAGAAUAAGGUGCGGCCAACUACGUGCC
Molecule: ribosomal RNA, 471 nt
Filed under: uncultured Gram-positive bacterium
Lineage: Bacteria
Description: bacterial SSU rRNA
Rfam family: Bacterial small subunit ribosomal RNA
Source: RNAcentral